Molecule: long non-coding RNA, 1534 nt
Filed under: Homo sapiens (human)
Lineage: Eukaryota; Metazoa; Chordata; Mammalia; Primates; Hominidae
Description: non-protein coding LINC01750:11
Source: RNAcentral
CCCCGCGGGCCCAGCGGCCCCAGGCCGGGCCGGAGAGCGCCGAGCCGCCAGGCAGUGGAGGAAGAGAGGAGGAGGACCCGGAGUCUCGCCGCGGGAGGGUGCCCAGGGCGAGGGCGUGCGAGGGGGAGUGACUCCGCGCGCGAGGGGCAGCAGCACCUGCUUGAGACCAAGCCCGGCGACCUGGCAAGGUGGGGCCCCCUACCGCGCAAUCUUUGCGGCUGGCCCCCGGCUCUCAGCUCCGAGUGCAGAGGCUGAAGAGGUACCCGGGGGACACACUGCCUCUAACCCCACCUAUGAGCCGCUCUCCUCUCGGAGGACGAAGGCACCAUCAGAAGGUCGAGAUUCGCCCUCCUCUCCCGCCACGUCUACCCACUACCUAGACCGGGAGUCUGGACUUGGGAGCGUGAACUCUCACCCGAGCCGGUCCCCUUACAACUGGAGCCCGCCCAGCCCCUCAGUCCCUCCCUGAAGCCCAUGGGUCCCCACUGCUCCGUGCCUCGUCGACCCAGGAUGGGGAGUGGGAAGGUCAGCAUGUGCCCACAGGGCCAGGUGUCCGGCCCAGAUUCCCACCCUCAGGGCGGCGGCGCGCAAAGGGCGCAGUCCCCGCCGCUGGGCGGACCCGCGGCUCCGGCUUUCCCGGUGUCUCCAGCCUCGGUGCCCGGAAUCCUGGAUCUCGGCCUGGCGCUCCGGAAGCGAGGCAGCUCCGUGCCCCAGCAGGGACGGGGAACGCUUGGCUUGAGAGAUCACAUUUCUGGGUGUGGAGAGGAUGUCAAUCACAUAUCCAGAAUAUCACCUCCUUGGGCACAGCCAGGGCAUGGUCCAUUGAAAAUGUUCCUGAUUGCUGGAAGCUGACGGCUCACCAUAAAAGCCAAAAUGGGGACCUGUCAAAAAUGUUUUAGCCAAACUAUGGCUUGGCUCAGGAAGAUGCCAAGACCAAAGGCUGCUGAACUUUAAGUAUAAACUUGCAUGAAAAGCACAUUGCAGGUCUGAGACAGUGGAGGCUUAGUGGUGAGAACAUGAGCUCUGGAUAGACCUGGCUUCAAGUCUUGGCUCUGUCAUUCACCAGCUGUGUGAAUUUGGGCAAACCACUUUUCUUCUCUGAUGCUCAGUUCCCUCACCUAGCAAAAUGGGUUAUAAUGAUGGCAUCAACUCAUAAGGUUCAUGAGGACUGAGCUAGAUAAUGCAAACAACAUGUUUCAUAUACAAUAAUAAAUAAAAAUGUUGGCUGUUAUAAUAUUGUCACUGAGUCUACAUGUAUCUGAAACUAGCUCUUUUAAAUCCUGGGUACAGCUUUACAAGCAGUAUUGUGUAGUUUAGACAGAUCACCUGAGUUCUUUCUAUGUAAUUAUUGUUUCUACUGAACCUUGGUAAAUGUGUGAAAUCACAGAAGUUUGUCCCUAGACACUCCCCUCACCCCACUGGCUCCUCUCUCCAUUCUGUGCAACCCCAUUUCUGCAGCCUUGAGCUUCAGCCCAUUUCUCUCCAUUUCCUCCUCAUUAGCAAGAACUGAUAAAAUUAUUUGAACUGAUAUGUA